AGAGUUUGAUCCUGGCUCAGGACGAACGCUGGCGGUGUGCUUCACACAUGCAAGUCGAACGGAGUAGCAAUACUCAGAUGGCGGACGGGUGAGUAACACGUGGGAAUCUACCAUUAAUGGGGAAUAACGGCCGAAGGACUGCUAUUGCCGCAUAUGUAUGUGCCUCGACAGGGGUGUAUAUGAAAGGAGUAAUCCGUCUGAUGAUGAGCCCGCGUCCGAUUAGCUAGUUGGUAAGGUAAAAGCUUACCAAGGCGACGAUCGGUAGGUGGUCUGAGAGGAUGAUCACCCACAAUGGGACUGAGACACGGCCCAUACUCCUACGGGAGGCAGCAGUGGGGAAUUUUACGCAAUGGGGGAAACCCUGACGUAGCGACACCGCGUGAGCGAAGAAGCCCUUUGGGGUGUAAAGCUCUGUCAACAGGAACGAAAAAAAUGACGGUACCUGUGGAGGAAGCAUCGGCUAACUACGUGCCAGCAGCCGCGGUAAGACGUAAGAUGCAAGCGUUGUCCGGAUUUAUUGGGCGUAAAGAGUUCGUAAGCGGUUUGUUAAGUCUGAUGUUAACAGACCGGGGGCUUCAACCCUCGGGAAAAU
This 592-nucleotide ribosomal RNA is filed under the name uncultured bacterium. Its description in RNAcentral is "bacterial SSU rRNA". It matches the Rfam family "Bacterial small subunit ribosomal RNA", at positions 8 to 624 of the family's 1533-position model. The record is from RNAcentral.